UUUAUAGUGCCUCAUCAAUAUCC
RNAcentral lists this small nuclear RNA (23 nucleotides) under Arabidopsis thaliana (thale cress). RNAcentral's name for it is "snRNA_00950". The record is from RNAcentral. Lineage: Eukaryota; Viridiplantae; Streptophyta; Magnoliopsida; Brassicales; Brassicaceae.